RNAcentral lists this ribosomal RNA (397 nucleotides) under uncultured bacterium. Its description in RNAcentral is "bacterial SSU rRNA". It matches the Rfam family "Bacterial small subunit ribosomal RNA", at positions 505 to 898 of the family's 1533-position model. The record is from RNAcentral.
GUGCCAGCAGCCGCGGUAGUACGUAGGGUGCGAGCGUUGUCCGGAAUUAUUGGGCGUAAAGAGCUCGUAGGCGGUCUGUCGCGUCGGUCGUGAAAACUUGGGGCUUAACCCUGAGCUUGCGGUCGAUACGGGCAUGACUUGAGUUCGGCAGGGGAGACUGGAAUUCCUGGUGUAGCGGUGAAAUGCGCAGAUAUCAGGAGGAACACCGGUGGCGAAGGCGGGUCUCUGGGCCGAUACUGACGCUGAGGAGCGAAAGCGUGGGGAGCGAACAGGAUUAGAUACCCUGGUAGUCCACGCCGUAAACGGUGGGCGCUAGGUGUGGGGGCCAUUCCACGGUCUCUGUGCCGCAGCUAACGCAUUAAGCGCCCCGCCUGGGGAGCACGGCCGCAAGGCUAAA